This is a long non-coding RNA of Wasmannia auropunctata (little fire ant), 1926 nucleotides long. RefSeq lists it as uncharacterized. The transcript has 2 exons. Lineage: Eukaryota; Metazoa; Arthropoda; Insecta; Hymenoptera; Formicidae. The record is from RefSeq and is a predicted model, not a curated record.
UAUACGUGCAUUCUGAUUCUUCCAAUAUUUUUCGUAAUAAAGAUUAUCUAAAAGAAAAGGCAUCUCUAAAAUUAUAAAUAGAACGUCUCGCAAGUUAUGCUGCAGACAAUAUGGGUCUUUGCAUUUCGUGCGGCCGUAAUUAACCGAGGAAACGUACAAUAUCUUGAACAUCGGAUUGUUGAUGACCGUUACAUAAAAUAUUGCGUGUAGAAACGACGUAAACUGGGCAGCUGUGCGCGCAGUGGGAGUUGUAACGGUGAACCUACUGCAGCAUUACUGCGCGACCGUAGGUGGUUUUACUGAGACGCAAACGUUUUAUCGUCAUGCGCUCGAAGCACACGGCUGACGAUAAAUCGAUAGUCAGUUCUUUGCUGCUCUUGCGCUCGUACGUGACUUUUCUCAUCGCUUUUUGCUAAUGUCGAGUGCAAUUUAUACAGAGAAUAAAAUGCUAUAUUUUUUUUAUUGUACAUAUUUCUUUGCUCGAGGCAGUUAAAAUUCCAUUUGACUUGUUAAUUUUCACGAUGGGACAUACGUAAAAAUGCGUAAAUACGAUAAUUUGGUGUUUUAAAUGCUCAAAGGAGAAAACGAGAAAACGAGAAGAGUGCACGCGCGGUUUUUAUCUAGUAAAAAAUUAAAUUUGGGACAGUAUAUCUUGUGUGCGCUUUUGUAAAAUUUCGGAAAAAUUGUGACAUCAAUAUUACAUUUAUUUAAAACUUGUACGUGUAUAAGCGAUGGACGAAAAACCUACCGUCGCGCGUGAAUGUUGAGCUGAGAUUUUCAAGAGAACGAAGCGUAAAGGCGGUGUCAAGUUACGUCCGUUUAAUUCCAGAGUAUCUCAUUUCGCUUACUCCACGAGAACGAUUUAUUUAUCAGGAUUUAAUACGUCAGGCAGAAAUUAGAGAUGCAAAUAGGAGUUCGCGUCGCGGUGGUCAUUAUCACGUCUAAUCGUGUUGUCGUGUAAAACUUGCUCACGUUAAUAUAGUCCGCUAAGUAAAACGAAUCUUUUUACUUCAUCUUUUUACCUGCCAGACACGAAGCGCGAAUCGACUGUCGGAAUCUGACGUAGUCGACUUGUUGGCGCGACAUUUUUCUGAAUGGUCAACAGACGCGAUAUCCCUCGUAUAAAUAAAUCCUCCUCGUUGUAUUCAUACGUUGCAAGACGUAUAUUUGAUCCACGUCGCGCCGGGAGAACGUUGAAUGAUGAAUGCACAAUACGUUAUGCACCGUCUCGUAUACGUUUAGACGCAUUGAAAAACUUUCUAAAUUAAGCUCACAGAAAACGAGAAAAGUAGAGAAUGAGAGGAACAGCUUCUUUAAGUUUUGCGUACUGAACUCUUUAACAAAUGACUUUCAAAAAAAGAGGAUAUAAAAAGAGAACAGAAUAUUGAAAGUACAAUUUUUCAAAGUCUGCUUUGGUAACAAAACACUGCGUCAGUACUGGAGAUAUUUAUGUUAAACGCAUCUCAUCAGCAAUACUAAUUUCUUAUCGUCUAUCUAAGAAAAAACAUACCAUGUAAUAUUUAUAGGACGAUUCAAGUAGUAUCUACGGGCGCGCAGUAUACAAGGUGGCGAACUUGUGACAACCGAUACACAAUGGAGAAAGCUAUAUUUGAUACUCGUUGGUAUCGCAGAAGCUGACGAAUGUGUUUACGGAUGUACGCCGGUGUUGCGUACGUGCAAGGGAAUGUGCUUCACGCGAACUGCAUCGGCAUGUCUUAAAUAAUUCAGCAGACCGGAAGAACUUCCACUACGUCAGUCUCCACUGACGUAGAAAAAUAAGGAAACAUCAUGGAGGAAAGACUACACGGGAGGAAAGAAUUCUGUUACCAAGAGCAGCAUUGUAGCUGCUCCUGCACACUCGGUCUAUAAGAAGCGAUGCUGCCAUAAUCAAUUAUUUGAUAUCACAAUAAAAUCUGUUUUAUUAAA